Molecule: long non-coding RNA, 2148 nt
Filed under: Ixodes scapularis (black-legged tick)
Lineage: Eukaryota; Metazoa; Arthropoda; Arachnida; Ixodida; Ixodidae
Description: uncharacterized LOC120844403
Source: RNAcentral
ACAUAUUUAUUUUCACUAAUUAAUGAGUUCAUUAACAAGUUUCAGUUACCUAGUUGUCCGACUUAUCACUAUGGUUAGCCCCUAUAUUGUGCCCCCUGACCAGAUAACUCACCUGCACACACUGCAUUUAUAUCGAGUUUGCAGCUUUUUUUUUUUAGUAACCUUUCUUUAUAAAAACAACGCUUUUUACAGUGUAGUCACUGCGACAUCCAUCCGUUUGCUCUUUCUAGGUCUGGCUGCGGCAGCUCCGAAAGAGUUCCAGCAAGAUCCAGUCCCCACGAAUCCCAGUGGCUCGUACACCGUCACGGCCCAGCCACUGCAGUGGGUCCCCACCUCCAUCCGUGACGAAGCGCAGCCGCAGGCGAACGUCGUUUACUUCCACAACGUGGAACGGCACGGCAUUGCAACUCAGCCCGUAGUGGCGACAGUGCCAGUCGUGGCGGUGCAGCCGGAACGACCGCACGUCACACCGCCGUGGCUUGCUGGUUUGGGUCAAGGGGCGGCAUUUUUGCUGCAAAUCGGGCAACAUCGGGUCCUCGUGGAUCCGUCUGUCGCGGCGAAGCCAUCUUGACACGCACCCCCCGCCGUCUGCGACGGACAACGGCCGCAAAAAGACGUAAUCGAGUUCCGCGAGGUCGAACAGUUGUAGCAGCAAGUUGUUGUGACAUAGUUGUUUUGACAAAGUUGUUGUGGCACAGUUUUUGUGGCCUCGUUGCAGCACAGUGUUUGGUGCUGUUGCGACACUUCGAAACGGAUCGUCGUCCUGCUGGCACAUUCGGAUGGUUCAGGAAGCCGUGGGUCCACAAGACGGUAAAAGCCAGCGUGUGCAGUUCUACGAGUUCUUCAUUGGUGGCUUAGACUAUGGUACGACUACUCAAGGGUGACUUUGGGUGGCAAGGAGAGUGUGCAGUGAUGCAGCUGUGGAACCGGCUACAGGUGUGGGGUCAAAGGACACGACCAGUCGAGAUGUGGGUCGUACGGAGGUGGCGGUACGGUGCUCGGAACACUUCCUCAACCGGUGUUUACGGCCUCCUCGAAUGUGGUCCGUUGGGAACCUGUCACGGUGUUGCCAGUGUGUGAUCCUGGUGGUGUCGUGGCAGUGGUGGUGCAUGUUUGCAGAUGCAGGUUCUGCUGUAGGUUGCUCUCUAGCUGGACAGUCCAAGCAAGCCUCCACAACCUGGAGUUGGGUCGCCACAACAUCUCGACGUGUGACACGACGUCUUCCGCAUUGUCGUUUGUCGUCACUUCGGAACUGGCUUGCGAUGUAUGGGCGGGAUGGGACGCCGAAGGCACCGGACAGCGACUCGUUCCAGGCACCCUAGUGGCAGCUCGGGAGGUGCCUACUGCAAACGAGUGGAAGGUCGCACUACGAGAGACUAGGUUUCCAACGUCUGCUUUUGCCGAACCUUAAAUAUGGCGAAGGAGAUCCAGUGCUUGUGAACGAACGGUCAAAGUAAUGGCGCACGCACGUGAGAAACGGUGUGCCAAGACCGUUGCGAUGUUUUGUUGCAGUCUCAAUCUUGUCUCCCUUGGCAGUGGAUGUAAGCCUGCGCCAAUAGAUGUGGGCUUCGGUGAUACUGUCUGUUGAAAGUUGGCAAGGCCCAUAUUGACACCGUCUAGGCGAGGCACGGCCGAAGAACUCUGGGCAUGCGCGAGCGACUACAUCACAACGGAAGGAUUGUGCGGGGUAUGCCGUAUCAUCUUGGUGCAGACUCUUGAUCCCACAUUGAUUAUUGUUCCAGUGGCCCGCAUUGUGGCGCCUGUGGUCGCAUUCGGUGCCCAUCGUGGUUUCACUUUACGCACGUGUGCGCACAAAUAGGUUGGCGUUCGAGUGUGGCACGCUCGAGCUUGUCGGAACUCUUUUUCACGUUCAUCGAUCGUACAAGCAUUAUUACCAUUUUGUGAAUUCAAAAAACGCGGAAGUCGUAAGUUCAUUGAGCAGUCGAGCCAAUUUAUUGGUAGUGCUGCAAAGAGUUUGUCGUGCAUGGAAGAGGGAUUUCUCCGGUUUACAUAUUAGCAAGAAGUCCCUAGUCUCGUUGAGAAAAUGUUUUUAUUUGUUUUCAAUUUAGACCUGUUAAGUGCUCUGGUUCUUCACUUUUUCUGCCUCGUGUUUUAAAGGUGAAUAAAGCUCGAAGACGUUGAACAGCA